GUAACAGUAGUGCUGCUGGAGAUUGGGUUAACUGUGGGAUUUGUGGUGAGUGGGCACAUUUUGGCUGUGAUAGAAGACCAGGUCUCGGCGCCUUCAAGGACUAUGCAAAGACAGAUGGACUGGAAUACAUAUGUCCGCAAUGCAGCGUGACUAAUUUUAAAAAGAAGGUGCUGAGAACAGCAAACGGAUAUUCCUGAACCUAAGCUUAAUGACUUCAACAACAGCAAUCCCAAUUGAUUAUAUACAUGUAUUCUCUUAGAACAUCAACUGUGUUUUUGCAGAGAAAUUAGUUAAAGCUUGUAUUACUUUGGGCAUUAGCUUCUUGUGUUUGUUCUGGACAAACAGAGGAAGACGCGGAGGCGUAUAUUGAACAGAAGUGAAAAGGCGUUGGAAGGCGCCAGGCGGUGACUAGGAGUGGUGCCACUCUCAUUAGGAGGAAGAAUUGUAGAGAUACAGAAAGAGUUGAGACUGCAGGCAGGCAGGCUCAUGGCAAGUCUUUGUAAUAUAUAUAAUCCUCUGUUGAGGAUGUGACAUUUUGUAGCUUGGUUGGUGGAAUUCAUAUUUCUGAAAUUUCACACAUCUUUUUUUUG
This 590-nucleotide unclassified non-coding RNA is filed under the name Hevea brasiliensis (rubber tree). Lineage: Eukaryota; Viridiplantae; Streptophyta; Magnoliopsida; Malpighiales; Euphorbiaceae. The record is from RNAcentral.